UAUCGGUCCCCUCGCGACGAUAGAUCGUGAACCCGGUCAGGCCCGGAAGGGAGCAGCCGUAACGAUGGACUCGGGCGCCGAGGUGUGGCUGGUAUGG
Molecule: signal recognition particle RNA, 97 nt
Filed under: Gammaproteobacteria bacterium
Lineage: Bacteria; Pseudomonadati; Pseudomonadota; Gammaproteobacteria
Description: signal recognition particle sRNA small type
Rfam family: Bacterial small signal recognition particle RNA
About the family: The signal recognition particle (SRP) is a universally conserved ribonucleoprotein involved in the co-translational targeting of proteins to membranes.
Source: RNAcentral